UACGUAGGGAGCAAGCGUUAUCCGGAUUUACUGGGUGUAAAGGGCGCGUAGGCGGGAUGGCAAGUCAGAUGUGAAAUCCAGGGGCUCAACCCCUGAACUGCAUUUGAAACUGUCGUUCUUGAGUACUGGAGAGGUUGACGGAAUUCCUAGUGUAGCGGCGAAAUGCGUAGAUAUUAGGAGGAACACCAGUGGCGAAGGCGGUCAACUGGACAGCAACUGACGCUGAGGCGCGAAAGCGUGGGGAGCAAACAGG
RNAcentral lists this ribosomal RNA (253 nucleotides) under uncultured bacterium. RNAcentral's name for it is "partial 16S ribosomal RNA". It matches the Rfam family "Bacterial small subunit ribosomal RNA", at positions 524 to 776 of the family's 1533-position model. The record is from RNAcentral.